This 556-nucleotide long non-coding RNA is filed under the name Monodelphis domestica (gray short-tailed opossum). RNAcentral's name for it is "lncRNA (ENSMODG00000030132.2)". The record is from RNAcentral. Lineage: Eukaryota; Metazoa; Chordata; Mammalia; Didelphimorphia; Didelphidae.
CUCUCGAGAAGCUGAGGAUUUUACUAUAUCUUCUCCAGUUUUUUUCUUAUAUCUCCUUGCACCUAUGAAGGAAGGAAGCAUUCCUUUCCUAAGUGGAAAUAGUAUGUUGGACUUCCUAUAUUAAUUACUAAUUAUUAUUAGCUGAUAUUAAUUAUUAAUUAAAAUAUAUUAUCUAUUUAGAAAUACUCUGGACCUAUCUCAUCCUCAGACUGUGAAAAGUUCAAUGACCAAAGGUCUUCUGCUCUCUGAAAGAACAUGAAUUGUCCAAGAAAACCCAACAAGAGUCGGGAUGGUAUAAACAUUAAAGAACUAAGUCACAGCUAGAAACUAAUAGUCAUAGAGAUGCCAUAAAUGGAAAACAAGGAAGAAAUGAUGACUUAAACAUUCAAGAGUGGAGCUUAAGAGCAAUGAACUGGAAUAAGGUCAAAAUACUAAAGAGUACUUUUAGGAUAAGAAACUCACCACCUCCCUGAAUCCAGAAAGUGAACUGUUUGGAGAAGGUGCCUUGGAGGUGCCUGCAGAAACCACACACUGCCCCAAAGGAUGCAGAAUGAAC